This 495-nucleotide ribosomal RNA is filed under the name uncultured bacterium. RNAcentral's name for it is "partial 16S ribosomal RNA". It matches the Rfam family "Bacterial small subunit ribosomal RNA", at positions 28 to 507 of the family's 1533-position model. The record is from RNAcentral.
GAUGAACGCUGGCGGCGUGCCUAAUACAUGCAAGUCGAGCGAACGGACGAGAAGCUUGCUUCUCUGAUGUUAGCGGCGGACGGGUGAGUAACACGUGGAUAACCUACCUAUAAGACUGGGAUAACUUCGGGAAACCUGAGCUAAUACCGGAUAAUAUUUUGAACCGCAUGGUUCAAAAGUGAAAGACGGUCUUGCUGUCACUUAUAGAUGAAUCCGCGCUGCAUUAGGUAGUUGGUAAGGUAACGGCUUACCAAGGCAACGAGGCAUAGCCGACCUGAGAGGGGAAGCGGCCCUGAGGGAAUGACAGCCCAGACCGGGCCUGAAAGGGGGCCCGGACUCGUGAGUGAGCCAGCAGGGGGGAAAAUUGCACGAUGGACGCAAGCCUGAGGGAGCAACGCCUCGGGAUGGAAAACGGCCUUUAGUUGGUAAAACUCUUUGAGUACGGACGUGGCGCAAGUUACGGUAUGUGCAGAAGAAGGACCGGGCAAAAACGUG